GUGCUCACUUUGGUAGCACAUAUACUAAAAAUUGUAAUGAUACAGAGAUUGGCAUAGCCCCUGUUUAAGGAUGACACACAAAUUCAUUAAGCAUUCCAUAUUUUU
Molecule: small nuclear RNA, 105 nt
Filed under: Bos indicus x Bos taurus (hybrid cattle)
Lineage: Eukaryota; Metazoa; Chordata; Mammalia; Artiodactyla; Bovidae
Source: RNAcentral